UGCGCCUCGUCCGCAUCCCGGGGCGGGGCCGCCCGGACGCCUCUUAAGCUCCGCCGGAGGCCGCAGGGAGCUACGAGAGAGCCGCCGGGAUUCGCUGCGUGUCGGUGCCGGAGCGGGUUGUACUCCUUCGUCCGGCUGUAGCGAGAUCGCUCGCGGUGAGGAUCGGCCCGAACCGGUGAGCCGUUCCGGUAGCAACGGGACCGCGGAGGCGGGGAGCGCUCCGUAGCCGUUCGGGGUCGUCCGCCGCCGUCCGCCCGCCCGCAGCAAGGGGCCGGCCGAUUCUUCGCGCGGNNNNNNNNNNNNNNNNNNNNNNNNNNNNNNNNNNNNNNNNNNNNNNNNNNNNNNNNNNNNNNNNNNNNNUGGGGGUGCCCGCCGCUCGCUUCCCCGAGUCCUAGUGCAGCCACGGAAUGUUCUCAGCUCCUCCCGGGCUUUUUAGAAGGCUGAGCGAACGCUGCAGCAGAGCGGCUUGUCAGCUCGAACCGGCGAGCGUUUGGGAGUCACUAGGUAAGUUUUCUGUUCGUGGGGCCGCCGCUCGGCCGCUUCUGCUUUUUUGCGAUCGGCACGGAGCGGCCGCCGAACCGCUCGAGACCGAGCCCGACCCCGGGCGCCUGCCUCCGCACCCCGAAGAGUGUUGCCAGCGCGUCGACCCCUCCCGCUUCCAGCACAGAGCGCGAGCCGGACGGGACCGCGGAUUCCUUUUCCACCCACCCUGCACCUUACGCGUACCUUCAGGAGCAUCAUCUGCUUCUCGUAGCGGAGACACGGUGGGACAGCUUGCCCGACUGGAAUGCCGUUGUGGAUGGCAUGUUUUGUUCUUUUCUUUUUUUCCUUUUAGGGAAGACGGAGCAGCGAGGUGGCGGAGUUGCUCUUCUGGUGAGGUAACUGGAACGUAGCUGUGCCUAGGGACAGAUGAAGAACCAGGGCUGCCCUGCUGCGUGAGGCUCAAGGGGCGGUAAACGCGGGCAAUGUCGCUGGGGGUGUUGGUGACAGGCGGGGAUGAGGAAGCAGAUGCGAUCUUAUGCGUGCAGCUGGAAGUAACCUCACAGCUGCGUGCACGAGUUCUCACGGCAGACUUGAACCUCUCUGCCGGUUGCUAGGAAAACAGCACGCUCUCAUUGCAGGAGGUUCCUGUGAUGUGUCGAAGGUGAAAUUUUGGAUGCGGGUGACGGAGAAGCCAAGGAGGAGAGGGGUGCUGCCAGAGCUCUUCUCCCUGCUGAGGAACGGCUGGCUGGAGAUGAGAAGACCAAGUGAGGCCUGGAGCACGGCGACUGCGAGACAGCCGAGUUUGGGAUCUCACGUGGAAGAUGCUAAGCAUUACGUCGGAUUGAAACACGGGUCUCGGAUGGAGAAGAAUUCCUCCUCUUAAAGGGCUUAAUUGGAGGUAACCUUAGGGUUAGAGCAUCAGAAUAGGUCCUGCGAGCGGUUCUUGAUGCUCAGGCAUUACUUCCUCCGUGUUUGGAGGGGGUGUAUGUCUAAGAGCGAGACACAGAGCAGAGAUGGCAGGAGACCGGCGU
This 1514-nucleotide long non-coding RNA is filed under the name Chrysolophus pictus (golden pheasant). Its description in RNAcentral is "lncRNA (ENSCPIG00010006820.1)". Lineage: Eukaryota; Metazoa; Chordata; Aves; Galliformes; Phasianidae. The record is from RNAcentral.